UUGCUCUUCGAUUCAGCGGCGGACGGGUGAGUAAUGCCUAGGAAUCUGCCUAGUAGUGGGGGACAACGUUUCGAAAGGAACGCUAAUACCGCAUACGUCCUACGGGAGAAAGUGGGGGAUCUUCGGACCUCACGCUAUUAGAUGAGCCUAGGUCGGAUUAGCUAGUUGGUAGGGUAAAGGCCUACCAAGGCGACGAUCCGUAACUGGUCUGAGAGGAUGAUCAGUCACACUGGAACUGAGACACGGUCCAGACUCCUACGGGAGGCAGCAGUGGGGAAUAUUGGACAAUGGGCGAAAGCCUGAUCCAGCCAUGCCGCGUGUGUGAAGAAGGCCUUCGGGUCGUAAAGCACUUUAAGUUGGGAGGAAGGGCUCAUAGCGAAUACCUGUGAGUUUUGACGUUACCAACAGAAUAAGCACCGGCUAACUUCGUGCCAGCAGCCGCGGUAAUACGAAGGGUGCAAGCGUUAAUCGGAAUUACUGGGCGUAAAGCGCGCGUAGGUGGCUUGAUAAGUUGGAUGUGAAAUCCCCGGGCUCAACCUGGGAACUGCAU
RNAcentral lists this ribosomal RNA (550 nucleotides) under bacterium BaA2-77. RNAcentral describes it as "bacterial SSU rRNA". It matches the Rfam family "Bacterial small subunit ribosomal RNA", at positions 80 to 626 of the family's 1533-position model. The record is from RNAcentral.